UCUUUAAGAAAUUUAAGGAACUUAGCCUUGGAUUCCUGAAUAGAAAGAUCUUCAUUUUACAGGCAGACCUGUCUAACUACAAGCCAGACUUGGGUUUUCUCCUGUAGUUUGAAGACACACUGACUCCUGACAAAAUGCAGCCUGCAACUUCCUGGAGAACAACUCAGUGUCACAUUAAAGUUUAUUAUGUAUUUAAUGAUACACUGUUUAAUUGACAGUUUUGCAUAGUUUGUCUAACUUUAGAGAAUUAAGAGCCUCUCAACUGAGCAGUAAAGGUAAGGAGAGCUCAAUCUGCACAGAGCCAGUUUUUAGUGUUUGAUGGAAAUAAGAUCAUCAUGCCCACUUGAGACUUCAGAUUAUUCUUUAGCUUAGUGGUUGUAUGAGUUACAUCUUAUUAAAGUCGAAAUUAAUGUAGUUUUCUGCCUUGAUAACAUUUCAUAUGUGGUAUUAGUUUUAAAGGGUCAUUAGGAAAAUGCACAUAUUCCAUGAAUUUUAAGACCCAUAGAAAAGUUGAAGAAUGCUUAAUUUUCUUAUCCAGUAAUGUAAACACAGAGACAGAACAUUGAGAUGUGCCUAGUUCUGUAUUUACAGUUUGGUCUGGCUGUUUGAGUUCUAGCGCAUUUAAUGUUAAUAAAUAAAAUACUGCAUUUUAAAGCUGUUAAGAAAUUGUCCAGAACGAGAAUAUUGAAAUAAAAACUUCAAGGUUA
This is a long non-coding RNA of Homo sapiens (human), 707 nucleotides long. Ensembl annotates it as miR-17-92a-1 cluster host gene. Its record names the gene MIR17HG. NCBI's taxonomy places the organism in Eukaryota, Metazoa, Chordata, Mammalia, Primates, Hominidae. The record is from Ensembl.